Manis javanica (Malayan pangolin) is the source of this 1214-nucleotide non-coding RNA. Lineage: Eukaryota; Metazoa; Chordata; Mammalia; Pholidota; Manidae. The record is from RefSeq and is a predicted model, not a curated record.
CGGAAGCGGAAGUGGCUUAGCGCGGGAGCGGCGGCGGCUGCGGAGCGGGAGGCGGCAUCCUGGGCGGUAAGUGGCGGCGGCGGGGUCCCUGACCGACUGGCGCGGCCCCGGCCCGGCUUCCACCCCAGCCGCAGGACGGGCUGCCGUGGGGCCGUCCCAGCUGACGCCCAGCGGGAAAAGGGGGCGGCGGGCCGCUCUGCGGGGCUCUGGGCCGGCCCCAGGUCGCCGCCCCGAGCUCGCUGCUCGCCGGAGACUCGGGACCCGGGUGCUCGGAGCUCGCUGCGUCAGGCUGGCGGGGACCCCGCGCUCCCACCCGCCGCCGAGUGCCUCGGUCCCGCGGGCACCUAGUCGGACGUCGAGAGUCACUCCCCAUCCAACAGGGCGCUGGAAAGCGAACCCGAACGUGCGGCGCACGCUCGCUGGGCAGAGACCACCGUGGGCCCCGCUGUCCGCUCGCCACCGGGCCUUUGCGCGCAGCCGCUCCGCGCCGGCCUGGGGCGGGCGCCCCCAGCAUGCCCGCUGUUUCUUUGCACGUCUGACGUCCUCUCGUUGUCUUGCUACAGUAUUCCUUCCCUGACGCCCACCCCGACCUUGACCCCCUUCUCUGUGUUCCCGAUGACCUCUGAUGCUUAACCUGUCACAAUGUGUUGUCUUUUGACCCCAUCAGAAUGUAAAUUCCCUGAGAGCCGGGACUCUGCAGAGCAAGUUCAAAGCAACUGCUUAGAAUUGAAGCAAAAAGGGUUUUCCAUACGUUGAGUUAAAAAUCCAGAGCAUGAAAGGGUCUCGGGUAAAAAUUCAGGGUCCUGCCCACCCCUGAUGGCUGAGCAGCCUGGUUACCCGUUCUCCGGGAAGACAUACAGCAGUUUCUUAUGUGUCAACAGGGAAAGUCAGUGCACGGACGUCUGAUACGUUUAUACAAAACUUAGGGCACUUUACGUGUGAUCCUUUUACUCCUCGUGGCUUAGAGGGCACUCUGCGUUCCCGCUUGCAGAUUUUAAUCAUCGCGCCGUUUUAUUGGAAUAUUUCUGUAGGCUGACUUCCUUCGUGCAGAAGUGCUAGGUCAACGGGCUUUCCUACGAAAGUACAGAGGCGGCGGCCAGUACCCCCGUUGCUGACGCUCCAUCUUGUACGUAGGUCUGGUAGGUGUGAAUAGUGUUUCAUUGUGGUUUUGUGUUUCUUACACGGAUAAUAAAAUAUCUCAGUUCCUUUUGUGA